This 336-nucleotide unclassified non-coding RNA is filed under the name soil metagenome. RNAcentral's name for it is "partial contains 5.8S ribosomal RNA, internal transcribed spacer 2, and large subunit ribosomal RNA". The stretch from base 1 to 120 matches the Rfam family "5.8S ribosomal RNA", at positions 35 to 154 of the family's 154-position model. The record is from RNAcentral.
GAUGAAGAACGCAGCGAAAUGCGAUAGGUAAUGUGAAUUGCAGAAUUCAGUGAAUCAUCGAAUCUUUGAACGCACAUUGCGCCCCUUGGUAUUCCAUGGGGCAUGCCUGUUCGAGCGUCAUUUGUACCUUCAAGCUUUGCUUGGUGUUGGGUGUUUGUCUCGCCUUUGCGUGUAGACUCGCCUUAAAAUAAUUGGCAGCCGGCGUAUUGAUUUCGGAGCGCAGUACAUCUCGCGCUUUGCACUCAUAACGACAGCGUCCAAAAGUACAUUUUACACUCUUGACCUCGGAUCAGGUAGGGAUACCCGCUGAACUUAAGCAUAUCAAUAAGCGGAGGA